ACCCAGGCCAUCUGCCUACAAGAUGCCUCCAUCAGUCAUUGAGAGUCUGGGCGAUAUCUGUCAAAGAAGAGGACCAGCCCAAAUGGCUAACCUCAAACUGGAGAAGAAGGUGGAAAGCUUCUUCAUGCUUGUCCUCCUGCUUGUCUCCAUGGUUAGUGCCAGCACGGGUUCAUCUCCCACCUGCCUCAUGGUGGACUCCGCGAUUGGGGAAGCGUGACGCUGACUUGCCUCUGACCAAUGGAGAUUUCAAGCCCAACACCAUGACAGGCAACGGCCUUGCAUGUGUCUCUCUACCAGCUCCCACAACACAGGAACCGGACGCUCCACCGUAGCUCUCAGAAAGAACCAACCCUACACACACCUUGAUUUCAGACUUCUAGCCUCUGGAAUCAUGAGACAAUAAAUUUAUGUUGGUUAAUUCACCCAGUUCGUGAUAUUUUGCUACAGAACCCUCAGGACAU
Long non-coding RNA from Lutra lutra (Eurasian river otter), 461 nucleotides. RefSeq lists it as uncharacterized. The record is from RefSeq and is a predicted model, not a curated record. The transcript is spliced from 3 exons. NCBI's taxonomy places the organism in Eukaryota, Metazoa, Chordata, Mammalia, Carnivora, Mustelidae.